Molecule: ribosomal RNA, 539 nt
Filed under: Leucos aula
Lineage: Eukaryota; Metazoa; Chordata; Actinopteri; Cypriniformes; Leuciscidae
Description: partial 16S ribosomal RNA
Rfam family: Bacterial large subunit ribosomal RNA
Source: RNAcentral
AGUAUAGGAGGUCCAGCCUGCCCAGUGACUACGGGUUCAACGGCCGCGGUAUUUUGACCGUGCAAAGGUAGCGCAAUCACUUGUCUCUUAAAUAGAGACCUGUAUGAAUGGCUAGACGAGGGCUUAACUGUCUCCCCCUUCCAGUCAGUGAAAUUGAUCUAUCCGUGCAGAAGCGGGUGUAAUUAUACAAGACGAGAAGACCCUUUGGAGCUUAAGGUACAAAGUUCAACCACGUUAAAUGACUCUACAAAAAGCAAGAACCUAGUGGCCAAUGAAAUUUUACCUUCGGUUGGGGCGACCACGGAGGAAAGAUAAGCCUCCGAGUGGACUGGGCUAAAUCCCCAAAGCCAAGAGAUACAUCUAUAAGCCGCAGAACAUCUGACCAAGAAUGAUCCGACUGAAAAGCCGAUCAACGAACCAAGUUACCCUAGGGAUAACAGCGCAAUCCUCUCCCAGAGUCCAUAUCGACGAGGGGGUUUACGACCUCGAUGUUGGAUCAGGACAUCCUAAUGGUGCAGCCGCUAUUAAGGGUUCGUUUG